UCCACCCACAAGGCGGAAGCGUAACACGUAACGUGUCAGGCGAGAGCCUGUGUGGGAGCGCAGAAACGAUACCCGUCCCGGUACCGUGUGACGAUGAUGGGAUGUUCUCCCGGGCGUCCCGGAUGGAGGGCUGGACGCGGGAUGAAACGGGCUCCCAUUGCGCUGUGAAAGGGGAUGUAGACGCCUAUGAGCUCCGCCUGAGGCGCGGGUUCCCCGAUUAGACAGAUGCUGCUCGGAACAGAAGGUGGGUUACGGCCGACACGC
This 264-nucleotide RNase P RNA is filed under the name Candidatus Bathyarchaeota archaeon. RNAcentral's name for it is "partial RNase P RNA component". It matches the Rfam family "Archaeal RNase P", at positions 43 to 288 of the family's 288-position model. From Rfam's summary of the family: Ribonuclease P (RNase P) is a ubiquitous endoribonuclease, found in archaea, bacteria and eukarya as well as chloroplasts and mitochondria. Lineage: Archaea; Thermoproteati; Candidatus Bathyarchaeota. The record is from RNAcentral.